GGAGGGGGUGCAAGCGUUGUUCGGAAUUAUUGGGCGUAAAGAGCGUGUAGGGCGGUUCGGUAAGUCAGAUGUGAAAGCCCUGGGCUCAACCCAGGAAGUGCAUUUGAAACUACCGGACUUGAGUACGGGAGAGGACGGGGGGGGAUUCCCGGUGUAGAGGUGAAAUUCGUAGAUAUCGGGAGGAAUACCAGUGGCGAAGGCGCCCCUCUGGACCGAUACUGACGCUGAGACGCGAAAGCGUGGGGAGCAAACAGGAUUAGAUACCCUGGUAGUCCACGCCGUAAACGAUGAGCACUAGGUGUAGCGGGUAUUGACCCCUGCUGUGCCGUAGCUAACGCAUUAAGUGCUCCGCCUGGGGACUACGGUCGCAAAGACUAA
RNAcentral lists this ribosomal RNA (378 nucleotides) under uncultured organism. RNAcentral's name for it is "partial 16S ribosomal RNA". It matches the Rfam family "Bacterial small subunit ribosomal RNA", at positions 525 to 897 of the family's 1533-position model. The record is from RNAcentral.